This 207-nucleotide ribosomal RNA is filed under the name uncultured bacterium. Its description in RNAcentral is "partial 16S ribosomal RNA". It matches the Rfam family "Bacterial small subunit ribosomal RNA", at positions 568 to 774 of the family's 1533-position model. The record is from RNAcentral.
CGCGUAGGCGGCCGUUUAAGUCAGAUGUGAAAGCCCGGGGCUUAACCUCGGAAGUGCAUUUGAAACUGGACGGCUUGAGUAUGGGAGAGGAAAGCGGAAUUCCUGGUGUAGAGGUGAAAUUCGUAGAUAUCAGGAGGAACACCUGUGGCGAAGGCGGCUUUCUGGACCAAUACUGACGCUGAGGCGCGAAGGCGUGGGGAGCAAACA